Molecule: long non-coding RNA, 1966 nt
Organism: Alexandromys fortis (reed vole)
Lineage: Eukaryota; Metazoa; Chordata; Mammalia; Rodentia; Cricetidae
Exons: 4
Source: RefSeq, a predicted model, not a curated record
AUUAGUGGCCCCUUGAGAAUCUCUUAAACAUAGACUGUUUUUCCACAGCAGACAAUCAAGAUGCAGAGGCAAUAAACAAACAAACAAACAAACAAGGGAAGCUGAAUCUAGGAUAGCAGAUGUGACUGCCUGAGAUGCCCCUCAGCCAAAGGUGCAGACAUCCAGAGAGAUUCUCACAGCAGGCCUGUAAAAUCUCCUGAUUUGAUUGAGCGAUGACGCCAAUAGUCAUAACUAACACAAGAAUAAUGUGAAGAAGCGCGACAUUUCGGAGCCUUUGAAAAUGAGGUGGUGGCUGUGACAAGCUGGUCUGUCCGUUCAGGGGCUGAGUGUGCAGCUCAAGAGAAGAUGGGGCUGCCGGUGUGCAGGGAAGCAAGGCAGCACAGGUCAAUAACUCUUUUGAAGUCUGUGGAACCCUGGAAAGUACAAAGGAUUGGAACUGAGUGACUUAAUUAGCCCAUGCAGACUGAUGGAAUAUAUCCUGAGGACAUGAAGUCUAUCUACGGAAACCAUAUGACUUGUUCUUGGAGAGACCACUGACCCUGUCAGUUGCAUGAACCUCUGUUCUCUAUGCUGCUGUCUGAUUGUCUAAGAGACUUUUACAGCUGGACAAGGCAAUCUCCUGAUGGACAGAAGAUUACACUGUAAAAAUUUUCUCCUUGCUCAUUGGCAAAAGACUUGAAAGAUACCACUCACUGUUUCAACCAGCGAUUCACAAUUGGGGCUUCCUAAACAUGCUGAUGUCAUUGUCUUUUCACAGUUGGAUUAUUUUCUUGUACUUUCAAAAAAAAUACAUGCUGGUGUGAACUAUCACUGGGGGUGGGAAGAAGAGCCACUCCUGUGAUGAAGAUUCACAGGGAUGAAGGACUGACAUGGGCCAUUGCGGGGAAUUAAACUACUCUAGGCCAUGGCCAAAUUAUCCUGGGUGAAUUUUAGUCCCUUGGAACGUCCUCGUUGUUGAGUUCUAUGUCUGACCUAACAUCCAGUGGCUAUCAAAACAUUUAAAAUGUCUUCUCGAUAAAUCACUGCCUUCCAUCAACUUGGAAGCCAAGAUGGCAUCUGAGACCUGUAAUAGAUUUCACACGUUGAUAGAAACCUGCUAGCUAUGGUUCCCACCAGUGUGUUUGGUAAAUUCCUUGACUUAGGGCUUACUUUGUUCCGUAACUACUUCAUAGUAGAACGUGGUAUUUGAGGCAACCUGAAUCUGCUUCCCCAGGUUGUGGUCUCUUGUAUCUGGCACCGGAAAAAAGAACUAUGUUAUUUCCUUUAAGAUGAGACCUGAAAACUUCCCUAGUUUUCUUUCUGCCUUAGGAUACCUCAACUUACACGCUACCUACCUGGGAAGUCAAAAAAAGAAAGCUUAAAAGAUCCAAUUUUUUAUUUUGUUCUUUGUACCAGCUUCAUUUCCUUUGAGGGUGAUCUUGAGGAAACACCAGCCACAUGCUGAUUCAGGCAGGCCUGCCUUAGGUAGAGCACUGCCCUUGACUUCACUGGUGUUAGCUGGGAUUGCCCACUGGGGUGUGCUGGAUGCAGCCGGUGAACAGAGGAACACAGAUGCUCUUGGCUCCUUAUUAGCUGCCAGGGAAACUGCUCUUCAGUGGAGAUUCAAAGCCUAGAGGGCGUCAGAAAGAAGAGACAGUCUUCAAGGGACUGGUGCCAUAUCAACUCACUUCAGUCUUGACCUUGGUUUGGUCUUAUUCUUUUAUUUAUUUGUUUUUAAUGGUUUCAUCCCCCAAUGUUGAGGCAUCUUUAAAGUAUAUCAAUGUCUGGUGAGCAUAAAGGAUCCCAGCGAAGUCUGUUAGGCUUGCUGGCAGCUGCGGAGGCUAAAGCACGGUUCUGCCCUGCGUCCCCACCUCUGUGCGCAUGCUCUGAGCUAGUCUGGGAGGAAGCCUGGUUAUCGGGUUGCUGUUGGGAGAAAUAUUCUUGCUAAGCAGUCUCCCCUCACAUCUUGUGACACCGAAGUAGACAA